This 638-nucleotide long non-coding RNA is filed under the name Sorghum bicolor (sorghum). RNAcentral's name for it is "long non-coding RNA (SBIC_LNC006033)". The record is from RNAcentral. Lineage: Eukaryota; Viridiplantae; Streptophyta; Magnoliopsida; Poales; Poaceae.
GAUUUUUUUUAUUAAUAGUAACGAGUAUCGUCAAGACUAAUGCACAGCCAUGCCAAGCCUAUAAUAUUCUAAUAGAUCCUUAACAAGCUCUGAAUCUGAAUCCAGAUGUUCCUAUCCAUAUUGUUGCAUGGCAAAGUUGCUGCAUAUAUUAACCUUACAGGCAUGACACGAUCUCACAAAUUGCCGCUCGGAAGCUUUCUUAAACGCACCAGCUUGGGACACAGGCGCCAGCACUCUUGCUGAUCACUGAAGCACGGCGAGUCAUCAGGAGGGAGCAACAUGCAGCAAUAACAAGUCUUGGUGGGACCGGUGCACUGAGACUUCACACACAAUAUGACGUGUAUCUCGCUGCUCCCGACCAUCUUCUCUCCUUCCGGCGAUCGCCGCCGGAGACUGCCAGCCGGUAUAUUCACCACGUCGCCACCCUCGUCAUCGCCUGCAUGCAAUCGUUACACUUCAUCUCAUCACAGUUUUCCUCAAAAUUAAAGUACCAGUCGAGUGAUGGGUUGAGAACGCGCGUACUACAGUUUGCAGCGGACACGAGGCAUGUCAACAGAACGGCGAGGAGAACCAGCGUCGGCCUCAUGGCGUUCGUCUCCCCCAAUGUAUGAGAAGCAAUUUGUCCAUGAAUAUAAUCG